This 254-nucleotide ribosomal RNA is filed under the name uncultured bacterium. RNAcentral's name for it is "partial 16S ribosomal RNA". It matches the Rfam family "Bacterial small subunit ribosomal RNA", at positions 524 to 776 of the family's 1533-position model. The record is from RNAcentral.
UACGUAGGGGGCAAGCGUUAUCCGGAUUUACUGGGUGUAAAGGGAGCGUAGGUGGCAUGGUAAGCCAGAAGUGAAAACCCGGGGCUCAACCCCGCGGAUUGCUUUUGGAACUAUCAGGCUGGAGUGCUGGAGGGGUAAGCGGAAUUCCUAGUGUAGCGGUGAAAUGCGUAGAUAUUAGGAGGAACACCGGUGGCGAAGGCGGCUUACUGAACAGAAACUGACACUGAGGCUCGAAAGCGUGGGGAGCAAACAGG